This 74-nucleotide transfer RNA is filed under the name Cavia porcellus (domestic guinea pig). Its description in RNAcentral is "tRNA-Asn (GTT) (tRNA-Asn-GTT-6-1)". The record is from RNAcentral. Lineage: Eukaryota; Metazoa; Chordata; Mammalia; Rodentia; Caviidae.
GUCUCUGUGGUGUAAUGGGUCAGCACAUUCCGCUGUUAACAGAAAGGUUGGUGGUUUGAGCCCACCCAGGGGCA